UUUCGAAUCAUUCACAAUGGGCGAAAGCCUGAUGGUGCGACGCCGCGUGAGGGAUGAAGGCCUUCGGGUUGUAAACCUCUGUCACCGGGGAAGAAACGCUUUGAGUUAAUAGUUCAAAGCCUGACUUAACCCGGAGAGGAAGCAGUGGCUAACUCUGUGCCAGCAGCCGCGGUAAUACAGAGACUGCAAGCGUUAUUCGGAUUCACUGGGCGUAAAGGGUGCGCAGGCGGCCAAGUGUGUUAGGCGUGAAAGCCCGGGGCUUAACCCCGGAAUUGCACCUAAAACUACAUGGCUAGAGCAUUGGAGAGGGUAGCGGAAUUCACGGUGUAGCAGUGAAAUGCGUAGAUAUCGUGAGGAACACCAGAGGCGAAGGCGGCUACCUGGACAAUUGCUGACGCUCAGGCACGAAAGCGUGGGGAGCAAAAG
Molecule: ribosomal RNA, 426 nt
Filed under: uncultured bacterium
Lineage: Bacteria
Description: bacterial SSU rRNA
Rfam family: Bacterial small subunit ribosomal RNA
Source: RNAcentral